AUGAUCUCGCAGGCUCAGCUCAUCUGGCUGUUAGUGCUCUGCAUCCAGGACUCCCAGGGGCAGAUUGUGCUGACCCAGACUCCGGAAUCCCUGGCAGUGUCCCCAGGAGACAGAGUCACCAUCAACUGCAAAGCCAGUUCCAGCCUUACAGAUGAGGAUUUUGGCAGUGAUACCUUAGCCUGGUACCAGCAGAAAACAGGGCAAGCUCCUAAGCUUCUCAUUUAUGAGGCUUCCACCCUGCAAACUGGAGUUCCAGCCCGGUUCAGUGGCAGUGGGUCUGGAACCGAUUUCACUCUCACGAUCAGCAGUGUUGAAGCUGAAGAUGCUGGAGAUUAUUACUGCCAACAAGGCUCAAGCUGGGCCUAUUCCAGAGGUAAAGGUGAGAACCUUGACAUAGUCAUAACUGACUGA
Chrysemys picta bellii (western painted turtle) is the source of this 411-nucleotide non-coding RNA. Lineage: Eukaryota; Metazoa; Chordata; Testudines; Emydidae. The record is from the annotation of a RefSeq genome assembly.